Molecule: long non-coding RNA, 413 nt
Filed under: Lepisosteus oculatus (spotted gar)
Lineage: Eukaryota; Metazoa; Chordata; Actinopteri; Semionotiformes; Lepisosteidae
Description: lncRNA (ENSLOCG00000022820.1)
Source: RNAcentral
GGAAAAUGCAAAGCGAAGAAAGGCUUUGAAAAACUGUUUAUUUUUAUUCAAACACAUUGUAUUUCUGUUGCUUCCUUGUCUGCUGUCUGUUGCCCAUUGAGUGCUCUGUAAUUGUUUCUCAGAGUUGACGGGGCUGGUCCUUAUACCUUCUCCAGUGAGAGCUGCCAGGCUUGUUGAAGUAGGCCCACUGCACCCUGUGGAGCAUAGGACCUCAGCGACUGUAUUCCAGCAAACUGGACUGUGAGCUACCUCAUUCCAGGAAAAUAAUCUCCAGCACUUCCCUGAUGGCAGCAGGCAUGGGUGGUUUGCUGUUUCAAGCUCGAUCCAGUUGUGUUCAAACAUGGUUCUGAUCCUGUUGCACUCUAGCUGUAAAUGUUUUUAAUAUGCACUCAAUAAAGUGGUGUUUGCUGUAC